This 584-nucleotide ribosomal RNA is filed under the name Bacillus subtilis. Its description in RNAcentral is "bacterial SSU rRNA". It matches the Rfam family "Bacterial small subunit ribosomal RNA", at positions 39 to 602 of the family's 1533-position model. The record is from RNAcentral. Lineage: Bacteria; Bacillati; Bacillota; Bacilli; Caryophanales; Bacillaceae.
GCGCGCGUGCCUAAUACAUGCAAGUCGAGCGGACAGAUGGGAGCUUGCUCCCUGAUGUUAGCGGCGGACGGGUGAGUAACACGUGGGUAACCUGCCUGUAAGACUGGGAUAACUCCGGGAAACCGGGGCUAAUACCGGAUGGUUGUUUGAACCGCAUGGUUCAAACAUAAAAGGUGGCUUCGGCUACCACUUACAGAUGGACCCGCGGCGCAUUAGCUAGUUGGUGAGGUAACGGCUCACCAAGGCAACGAUGCGUAGCCGACCUGAGAGGGUGAUCGGCCACACUGGGACUGAGACACGGCCCAGACUCCUACGGGAGGCAGCAGUAGGGAAUCUUCCGCAAUGGACGAAAGUCUGACGGAUGCAACGCCGCGUGAGUGAUGAAGGUUUUCGGAUCGUAAAGCUCUGUUGUUAGGGAAGAACAAGUACCGUUCGAAUAGGGCGGUACCUUGACGGUACCUAACCAGAAAGCCACGGCUAACUACGUGCCAGCAGACCGCGGUAAUACGUAGGUGGCAAGCGUUGUCCGGAAUUAUUGGGCGUAAAGGGCUCGCAGGCGGUUUCUUAAGUCUGAAUGUGAAAAG